GAAUUUUCCGCAAUGGGCGAAAGCCUGACGGAGCAACGCCGCGUGAGGGAGGAAGGCCUUAGGGUUGUAAACCUCUUUUCUCUGGGAAGAAGAACUGACGGUCCCAGAGGAAUAAGCCUCGGCUAACUCCGUUCCAGCCGCCGCGGUAAGACGGAGGAGGCAAGCGUCAUCCGGAAUUAUUGGGCGUAAAGCGUCCGCAGGCGGUUAUUUAAGUCUGUUGUCAAGGCCCACAGCUCAACUGUGGAUCGGCAAUGGAAACUGAAUGACUUGAGUGUGGUAGGGGUAGAGGGAAUUCCCGGUGUAGCGGUGAAAUGCGUAGAUAUCGGGAAGAACACCAGUGGCGAAGGCGCUCUACUGGGCCACAACUGACGCUGAGGGACGAAAGCUAGGGGAGCGAAAGGG
This 402-nucleotide ribosomal RNA is filed under the name uncultured bacterium. RNAcentral describes it as "bacterial SSU rRNA". It matches the Rfam family "Bacterial small subunit ribosomal RNA", at positions 359 to 776 of the family's 1533-position model. The record is from RNAcentral.